Gasterosteus aculeatus aculeatus (three-spined stickleback) is the source of this 204-nucleotide non-coding RNA. The record is from RefSeq and is a predicted model, not a curated record. Lineage: Eukaryota; Metazoa; Chordata; Actinopteri; Perciformes; Gasterosteidae.
ACCAAUCAGCUUGGUAAUCAAACAUCAUCAGAGAUCCAUCUGACUAUAGGAGGUGAUCAACUGGUUGGUGCUCAAGUCAUCGUGAAGGUCCUGGGAAUCAUUCUGCUCGUCACUACUUUGCUCAUCUUUGAGUGCUUUUCCCUCCCCAGCGUGUAAAGUCUGCUCGUGUCUCUGCUGCUUUUCAUUGAAGAAGAAGACAUCUAU